RNAcentral lists this unclassified non-coding RNA (590 nucleotides) under Hevea brasiliensis (rubber tree). The record is from RNAcentral. Lineage: Eukaryota; Viridiplantae; Streptophyta; Magnoliopsida; Malpighiales; Euphorbiaceae.
CAAGGUCAAGAGUAUCAACGUCGAAUCCUGCAUCGAAAUAGUGAUCGUAAACGUGUCCAGGAGCAUCGACGUGGGUACCAGUGUGGGUGGGAAGCUUCAUCUCGGAGUUGUUAGCGAGAGAGCCGUUCUUCAUGCUGGCUGGGAGCCAGAGAAACUGCCCCAACCCGUUCUCCCUACCCCACGACGGCAUGUCGGUCGUGUACCGGUGAGUGAUGUCAAAGAUUCUCCCGUCGCCAUAAACUUCGCGACGAAUUGGGUUCAGGUCGUCGUUAUGGGAAGCGGAAACAGAGGUAUCAGUUGUGCCGGGGAUGGUUGGGUAGGCUUCGGUGGAGGCAGUGGCGCAAAAGGGGGAAAGAAGCAGUAGGAGCAGCAGAGAGGUCAUGGUUUUGAUUGCGGUUUCUGCCAUUGUUGAAGCAAAGAGUGAAGAUCUUGAAAGUAUGGAUAGUUAGAUUUGAAUUAGAAUCAAGGAAUGUUAACUCAUCCGUUCCGGUGUUUAUAAGGGAAUACAACACACGAGACACGCGCGGCAAGUGUAUUGAAAGGUGAAAGAUAGCGUAAUUGACCAGAAGUCGUGGAUGAUAUUUUGAAGC